CGCAUAAUUAAUGCAAAAUUUGAUUGACCGUAUGGGAAAAAAUAAUCCUUCUGCAUAGAUGGUUAUACUUAAUAAUACAUGCUUUAAAUUAUACGAAAAUUUAUGUAUUUAUAUUAUGCCAGAUAAAAUGUGAUUACGAAGAUAAAAGUAGAAUAAAUAGAGUUUAUAGAGUGAAUUGAAGUGGAGUUGAAGUGGAAGAAGCUAA
RNAcentral lists this long non-coding RNA (205 nucleotides) under Nicotiana benthamiana. Its description in RNAcentral is "long non-coding RNA (NBEN_LNC019874)". The record is from RNAcentral. Lineage: Eukaryota; Viridiplantae; Streptophyta; Magnoliopsida; Solanales; Solanaceae.